This 657-nucleotide ribosomal RNA is filed under the name Triticum aestivum (bread wheat). Its description in RNAcentral is "partial small subunit ribosomal RNA". Lineage: Eukaryota; Viridiplantae; Streptophyta; Magnoliopsida; Poales; Poaceae. The record is from RNAcentral.
GCAAACUCACCAGGGUCUUUCAAUGUGAAUGGCUUCAAGAGCCACAACACAUUCUUUGACAGCUCGAAGAACCCCUACACGAAGCCAAGAAUAUCAUCAGAUCGGUUCUGGAGUCAUCAGCAGCGAAGCUAUUACUCCUAUGUUCUGUAUGAUCAAGGGUGCAUUUUCCCUCAUAUGCGCCUUGACACUGAAGCCACUACUAGACUGCCCUGCUUAGAAGAAGCACUUGACUGCUUUCGUGAUGCUGGCUUGCUCAGUUUUGUCACAGAUAAAGAACACUGGAAUGAAGAGCUAUUGCUUCAAUUCUAUGCUACUCUGCACAUUCGCGGCUACAACAGAGAUAUCAAGACAUGGAUUCUAGAGUGGAUGGCAAGAAAUGUUCAUCAUGAAGCCAAAGCUCUCGACAUCAUUGAGCUUACAGGCCUAUCCACUCCCGGAGAACUCUAUGAACCUGGUUGUCAAAAUCACCGCAAUGCUUUGGAAAGCAUCUUCCAUAAGCCUGAACCCAAUAUGAGUCAGAUGUUGAGCAUGAUGAAGCCUUUGCCAUGUGAUGCUGAAUACCCAACAGAGUUCUUUGUUGAAGACCUUGAGUAUGUGCCACGCACCAUAUAUCACAUCAUCAGGAGAACUCUAUGGCCUAUCAAAGGACAUUCAUCA